UGGGGAAUAUUGGACAAUGGAGGGAACUCUGACCCAGCCAUGCCGCGUGCAGGAUGAAGGCGUUAUGCGUUGUAAACUGCUUUUAUAUAGGAAGAAAUAGUCCUUGCGAGGAAAGUUGACGGUACUAUAUGAAUAAGCACCGGCUAACUCCGUGCCAGCAGCCGCGGUAAUACGGAGGGUGCAAGCGUUGUCCGGAUUUAUUGGGUUUAAAGGGUGCGUAGGUGGCCCUGUAAGUCAGUGGUGAAAUAUCUCAGCUUAACUGAGAGGGUGCCAUUGAUACUGCAGGGCUUGAGUACAGAUGAGGUAGGCGGAAUUGACGGUGUAGCGGUGAAAUGCAUAGAUAUCGUCAAGAACACCGAUAGCGAAGGCAGCUUACCAAGCUGUAACUGACACUGAGGCACGAAAGUGUGGGGAUCAAACAGGAUUAGAUACCCGGGUAGUCCCUGAGCGGGCUGGCAAGGCGCAU
RNAcentral lists this ribosomal RNA (466 nucleotides) under uncultured bacterium. RNAcentral's name for it is "bacterial SSU rRNA". It matches the Rfam family "Bacterial small subunit ribosomal RNA", at positions 355 to 825 of the family's 1533-position model. The record is from RNAcentral.